CAGUAGCGUAUAUUAAAGUUGUUGCAGUUAAAAAGCUCGUAGUUGGAUUUCUGGUACAACGCGCCUGGCCCGCUUACGUGAGUGCCGGUGCGCGUUUGCCAUCCUUCUAGAAAACGUCUCUACUCGGGCAACUGAGCCGGGUUCGUGAUCUAGAUCGUUUACUUUGAAAAAAUUAGAGUGUUUAAAGCAGGCUUUUGCUAUGAAUACAUUAGCAUGGAAUAAUAAUCUAGGACUUCGGUGCUAUUUUGUUGGUUUCUGGAACUGAAGUAAUGAUUGAUAGGGAUAGUGGGGGUGCUAGUAUUGAGCGGCCAGAGGUGAAAUUCUUGGAUUCGCUCAAGACUAACUUAUGCGAAAGCAUUCACCAAGGAUGUCUUCUUUAAUCAAGAACGAAAGUUGGGGAUCGAAGACGAUUAGAUACC
This 419-nucleotide ribosomal RNA is filed under the name uncultured eukaryote. RNAcentral's name for it is "bacterial SSU rRNA". It matches the Rfam family "Eukaryotic small subunit ribosomal RNA", at positions 592 to 1016 of the family's 1831-position model. The record is from RNAcentral.